UAGCUAGUUGGUGAGGUAAAGGCUUACCAAGGCGACGAUCUGUAGCGGGUCUGAGAGGAUGAUCCGCCACACUGGAACUGAGACACGGUCCAGACUCCUACGGGAGGCAGCAGUGGGGAAUUUUGGACAAUGGGGGCAACCCUGAUCCAGCCAUGCCGCGUGAGUGAAGAAGGCCUUCGGGUUGUAAAGCUCUUUCGGCCGGGAAGAAAUCGCAUGGGCCAAUACCCUGUGUGGAUGACGGUACCGGAAUAAGAAGCACCGGCUAACUACGUGCCAGCAGCCGCGGUAAUACGUAGGGUGCGAGCGUUAAUCGGAAUUACUGGGCGUAAAGCGUGCGCAGGCGGUUUUGUAAGACAGGCGUGAAAUCCCCGGGCUUAACCUGGGAACUGCGUUUGUGACUGCAAGGCUAGAGUACGGCAGAGGGGGGUGGAAUUCCACGUGUAGCAGUGAAAUGCGUAGAGAUGUGGAGGAACACCAAUGGCGAAGGCAGCCCCCUGGGUCGAUACUGACGCUCAUGCACGAAAGCGUGGGUAGCAAACAGGAUGAUACCCUGGUAGUCCACGCCCUAAACUAUGUCAACUAGGUGUUGGGUGGGUAAAACCAUUUAGUACCGUAGCUAACGCGUGAAGUUGACCGCCUGGGGAGUACGGCCGCAAGGUUAAAACUCAAAGGAAUUGACGGGGACCCGCACAAGCGGUGGAUGAUGUGGAUUAAUUCGAUGCAACGCGAAAAACCUUACCUACCCUCGACAUGCCAGGAACUUGCCAGAGAUGGCUUGGUGCCCGAAAGGGAGCCUGGACACAGGUGCUGCAUGGCUGUCGUCAGCUCGUGUCGUGAGAUGUUGGGUUAAGUCCCGCAACGAGCGCAACCCUUGUCGUUAAUUGCCAUCAUUUGGUUGGGCACUUUAACGAGACUGCCGGUGACAAACCGGAGGAAGGUGGGGAUGACGUCAAGUCCUCAUGGCCCUUAUGGGUAGGGCUUCACACGUCAUACAAUGGUCGGUACAAAGGGUUGCCAAGCCGCGAGGCGGAGCCAAUCCCAGAAAGCCGAUCGUAGUCCGGAUUGCAGGCUGCAACUCGCCUGCAUGAAGUCGGAAUCGCUAGUAAUCGUGGAUCAGCAUGUCACGGUGAAUACGUUCCCGGGUCUUGUACACACCGCCCGUCACACCAUGGGAGCGGGUUCCGCCAGAAGUAGGUAGCCUAACCGCAAGGGGGGCGCUUACCACGGCGGGGUUCGUGACUGGGGUGAAGUCGUAACAAGGUAGCCGUAGGGGAACCUGCGGCUG
This 1285-nucleotide ribosomal RNA is filed under the name metagenome. Its description in RNAcentral is "bacterial SSU rRNA". It matches the Rfam family "Bacterial small subunit ribosomal RNA", at positions 242 to 1520 of the family's 1533-position model. The record is from RNAcentral.